This 29-nucleotide non-coding RNA is filed under the name Cricetulus griseus (Chinese hamster). The record is from RNAcentral. Lineage: Eukaryota; Metazoa; Chordata; Mammalia; Rodentia; Cricetidae.
AUCGUUUUGUACCCGUUGGAGAAGUGACA